UCCAUUUCCUCUUCAACAAUAUAAGGUAUUCCCAAUGCAAUUACUCCCAUUCGAGAGUAAAUUCUUGGCGACUUUACAUAAGUAAAACGCUGAUUCUCUCUAUAAAAUAUCUCAUCCCAUUCGAGAACAACAUCCGAUCCACCUGUUGAACAUACAGCGCCCCGACUGCAAGGAGAGGAGUUUGGCUAUCAGCAUUUCGUGCCUCUUAUAUCUUACAAAUUGAAUUGCCAAUUUUCCAGCAGAUUCGUUUACAUGCUAAUGGGUAGAUAUAUUGGAUAUCAGCAUAGUCCUUCAUGUUAGAAAAUUUAAUUCAUUAGAAAUGUGUUCUCUGCUGCUCCUGCUUGAAGCCUUGAACCCAUUCUAUGCCUCUGUAGCAUAUGGUUAUCAACUUAUCAUGUAUGCCCAUUCCAUGAUUGAGAAUAUAUAACCCGUCGUUCUUUGUUAAUGAUUUGAUGGAAGACAAAAUAAAACUCAAUAGGCUUUGAACAAGGUGGUGGCAGAAUCUUGGAGUUGUGACUGAAAGGAACUUUGCUAGAGACAACCCGGAUUGGAUCUUUUUAUGCAGCUUGGGGAUUUUUGUAUUAGUACCGAACUAUAACGAUGCAGAGAAUGGCUUUAAAUACUCGCGGUAUAUUGUUCAUAGUUCGUUAGAAGAACUUGAUGUCAGUAAAGGUAAUUAUUGAUAACCUGGGUAAUUAUAAAAAGUCUUAAUAGCUAAGCCAGUAAAAGGUACGUUUUGGAGGACUGAAAGUAGUUGUUUAGUCAACUUAUAACUCAAAUUUGAACUAGGUUAUUCAUGUGCCUAAAUGUAAUUUCAGUUUACAUUAUAGGCGGAAUACAAAGUUUAGAAAGCUAUCGUAUUAUAUGAAGAUAUGUUUAUUACCAGUUUACAAUACAACUAAUUAAUGAAAUUUUUACCUUUAGAUAUUAAUUUGGUUGCUUUAUAGAUUUUUUUCUUUUAGCUUUUACCUGAGGCGGUAUAUUGCAAAUGAAGUCAAUCAUUUCUAAUGAGUCUAUACGUAAUGGAGAUCUGGAAAUGUAUUACAUGUGCUUACUUAAAUUCAAGGUUUGUGUGAGAAUCCGUCAUUGAUCCUGUAUGUCUGCCAUCCUGGUGGAAUAGCUGAAUAUUUGGAUCAUGUUAUAUAUGGUGUUCUUUCAUUAAAGGUGUGAUUGCAGGCUUAUACUGUUUGACAGUUUUAACUAUACUUGCCAUCAUUCCACCCGUGGUCCUGCUCUAACUCGCGCCACAACAUUUGCGCUAGAGGUGGCUUCUUUCCGUAUUAUCUACAGUUCCACGUAUACUAAUAAGUUGCCUAUGAGAAAAUAAUUCAUUCACUUGCAUACUCUGCGACAACUGCCACAUGAUGUGCACGGUGAGAAGGGAAUGACUAGGUCGCGGUAGGUAGUUGUGUGUCCAAUAUUUGUAGUUGUGCAUCUAAUCUUUUUUGCAACUUUAUAAUCUUUUCUUUUUAGUUGUGAGUUUUUUUCUUUUUCCAUUGUUUAUAUAUGUUUCUUACUUUUAAUAAAUGGUCCUCUUUUGUAUGUUUUCAUUUCUUUCAAGCACUAAGUUUCAAUUGUGGUGUUCUUUGUCUCCUGGAGUAGAAUUGAACAAGCUAAAGGUAUAUUGUACUAUUGUUGUUUGUGAUAUAAAUAUGCUAAUCCUAUAACACAUUUGUAUUGCACUUCAUGCAGACCUGGGUAAUUGGUACGCAGAAGAGGUUUUCACUGAGUCAUCUUUAUGCUGUUAUGAGCAUGGGUGGUUGAUGAUGGCGGCGAUGGGGAGGUUAAGAGAGUAAGAUCCAUUUCAAAUUUAAAAUCAAAGUUGAUGGCAGCGGCAUGCAAUAUUAGUUUGCAAACACAAGACUGAAGACCUAUUGUGGUGUUCUUUGUUGUCCGUUAGAGUACUGUUAAUUGUGGUGUUCUUUGUUGCAUGGGGUAGAAUUGACCAAGCAAAGAUAUGUUGGUCCUUUAGAGAACUAUUUGUUGUUUGUAUACCCUAGACAGAACUCUUCCUCCAUCAAAUCUCUCAUCAGUGGAGUGGGGGCGAUCAAUAAGCACAUUAAUGGGUUUCCGCCUGAUUUGAGCUGCCAGUAAUGGAACAAUAAGCACAUUAAUGGGUUUGAUCAAUUUUUCUCAUGAGGUUUAUGUAUUACUCUUGUUUCAAAAGCGUAGAUGGCCUGCAUCGUUUUACUGAUCAUGUUUCGAUGUAGCUUUUAAUCUAGAAGAUGUAAAUAUGAACGUCAUAAAGUGAGACGAUUUCGCUGUCAACUUCUAUCGAUUGUUGAAGUAAUACUGCAUUUUUUGUGA
Papaver somniferum (opium poppy) is the source of this 2307-nucleotide long non-coding RNA. RefSeq lists it as uncharacterized. The transcript is spliced from 3 exons. The record is from RefSeq and is a predicted model, not a curated record. NCBI's taxonomy places the organism in Eukaryota, Viridiplantae, Streptophyta, Magnoliopsida, Ranunculales, Papaveraceae.